CUGGUCGGGCUCUGCGGCUUUGGAGCUCACUGGUUCCAGGCAGCGGGGAUGAAGUUCGAGAGGGCCGGCCUUGUCGCUUUUGUGCGGAGAAGCGACGUGAUUUGGGCCUUCAUAUUUCAG
Molecule: non-coding RNA, 120 nt
Filed under: Chromera velia
Lineage: Eukaryota; Chromeraceae
Source: RNAcentral